This 73-nucleotide transfer RNA is filed under the name Ixodes scapularis (black-legged tick). It matches the Rfam family "tRNA". Rfam says of the family: Transfer RNA (tRNA) molecules are approximately 80 nucleotides in length. The record is from Rfam by way of RNAcentral. Lineage: Eukaryota; Metazoa; Arthropoda; Arachnida; Ixodida; Ixodidae.
CCCUGGUUAACUCAGUCGGUAGAGCGCUCCACCUGUAAUGGAGAGGUCCCGGGUUCGAUACCCGGACCAGGCG